Molecule: non-coding RNA, 438 nt
Organism: Lupinus albus (white lupine)
Lineage: Eukaryota; Viridiplantae; Streptophyta; Magnoliopsida; Fabales; Fabaceae
Source: the annotation of a GenBank genome assembly
GAUUCAGGAGUAAAAUGAGAGAGCGCGUGACAUCACAUCGAAGCCCCGAAGGCAACAAACGCGCAACAUCACUAAGCAAAUCUGCGAAAUGAUUGAGGAAGACUAAGCUUCUCGGAGCUACGACCUGAUGAUGGAAGAAGAGACUCCGUUGCCGAUAGAAUCCGCCGUGGCGAGAAUGGAAUGGCGUUGAAUUUAGAGAAGGAAGAAGACCUAGGGAAGAAAUUGGAGUGAUUUUGUUAUAGGGUAAGUUUAAAACCUUUUGUUUUUGUGAAGUGAUCAUUUACAGAAAAAGGAAGAUGAAGUGAUUUUUUAAAAGUAAUGCUAUUGGAAUAUUGGAUCCAUGAAAUUAACAUUCACUUACUUGAGAAUGUGAUUUUUCAAAAGUAAUGUUAACAGGAUAACAAACCCUAUUAGAGUUAUACAAAAACUUUACAUUUU